CUUUAAUACAUAAGUAUGCAAGGGAAACGCUUUAGUGCUUAAGGAUGGGUCUGUAUGGUAUCAGCUUGUUGGUGAGGUAAUGGCUCACCAAGGCUAUGACGCCUAACUGGUUUGAGAGGAUGAUCAGUCACACUGGAACUGAGACACGGUCCAGACUCCUACGGGAGGCAGCAGUGGGGAAUAUUGCACAAUGGACGAAAGUCUGAUGCAGCAACGCCGCGUGGAGGAUGACACAUUUCGGUGCGUAAACUCCUUUUAUAUAGGAAGAUAAUGACGGUACUAUAUGAAUAAGCACCGGCUAACUCCGUGCC
RNAcentral lists this ribosomal RNA (311 nucleotides) under uncultured bacterium. RNAcentral describes it as "bacterial SSU rRNA". It matches the Rfam family "Bacterial small subunit ribosomal RNA", at positions 179 to 509 of the family's 1533-position model. The record is from RNAcentral.